GUGCUUCCAGCUCGUUUUCGAUGUUGCGACUUUCGAAUCGUCGAUCGGCUCCGUUAAACUUGAUCUAGAGUAUUUGGAGUACCUAGAAAAUAAAUUUUAUUAUUUUUCGAUAUCAUUUGCCUAGUGAUCGAAUGGGCUCAAAAUCAACAAAUUUCAAUGGCCGUAGUGAGCCGUUUGCAAGUUUAACGGUGUAGAAAUAUCCAAAUCACGUGAAAUUUUGAUAGAAAAUUCUUUAUACUAUAUAAAACAAGAUUAAUAUCUUUGAUCUAAAAUUUUAAUGCCAUAUUAUCACGUUUUGUAAGAUUUUUAUUUUCAGCCGUUGAUUUUGAGCCCCUUCGUUCACUAGGCAAAUGAUAUCGUAAAAUCAUAAAAUUUAUUUUCUAGCUACUUCAAAUACUCUAGAUCAAGUUUAACGGAGCUGAUCGACGAUUCGAAAGUUGCAACAUCGAAAACGAGCUGGAAGCACGGAAGGCUCCGUGCUUCGGAUAGCAUAGUAGCCUCACUCUAUAUAUAUAUAUAUAUAUAUAUAUAUAUAGACAUGGCAUUA
RNAcentral lists this long non-coding RNA (547 nucleotides) under Ananas comosus (pineapple). RNAcentral describes it as "long non-coding RNA (ACOM_LNC029972)". Lineage: Eukaryota; Viridiplantae; Streptophyta; Magnoliopsida; Poales; Bromeliaceae. The record is from RNAcentral.